GACGAACGCUGGCGGCGUGCUUAACACAUGCAAGUCGAACGAAGAGCGACGGAAGCUUGCUUCUAUCAAUCUUAGUGGCGAACGGGUGAGUAACGCGUAAUCAACCUGCCCUUCAGAGGGGGACAACAGUUGGAAACGACUGCUAAUACCGCAUACGAUCUAAUCUCGGCAUCGAGGAUGGAUGAAAGGUGGCCUCUACAUGUAAGCUAUCACUGAAGGAGGGGAUUGCGUCUGAUUAGCUAGUUGGAGGGGUAACGGCCCACCAAGGCGAUGAUCAGUAGCCGGUCUGAGAGGAUGAACGGCCACAUUGGGACUGAGACACGGCCCAGACUCCUACGGGAGGCAGCAGUGGGGAAUCUUCCGCAAUGGACGAAAGUCUGACGGAGCAACGCCGCGUGAGUGAGGACGGCCUUCGGGUUGUAAAGCUCUGUUAAUCGGGACGAAAGGCCUUCUUGCGAAUAGUGAGCAGGAUUGACGGUACCGGAAGAGAAAGCCACGGCUAACUACGUG
RNAcentral lists this ribosomal RNA (510 nucleotides) under uncultured bacterium. RNAcentral describes it as "partial 16S ribosomal RNA". It matches the Rfam family "Bacterial small subunit ribosomal RNA", at positions 28 to 507 of the family's 1533-position model. The record is from RNAcentral.